GAACGCUGGCGGUGCGCCUUAUGCAUGCAAGUUGAGCGAAGCUUUUUGGUAGUUUACUACUAGAAAUGACUGAGCGGCGAACGGGUGAGUAACGCGUGAGCAAUCUACCUUAGUUACUGGGAUAGCCCGAGGAAACUCGGAUUAAUACCGGAUAUUCUUAUUUUUUCACAUGAAGUUUUAAGGAAAGGUCAGCCGAACUAAGAUGAGCUCGCGUUCUAUCAGCUAGUUGGUGGGGUAAAAGCCUACCAAGGCUACGACGGAUAGCUGGUCUGAGAGGACGAUCAGCCACACUGGGACUGAGACACGGCCCAGACUCCUACGGGAGGCUGCAGCAGGGAAUAUUGUGCAAUGAGCGAAAGCUUGACACAGCGACACCGCGUGUGGGAUGACGGUUCUAGGAUUGUAAACCACUUUCAGGAGGGAAGAAAAUGACGGUACCUCCACAAGAAGACCCGGCCAACUAUGUGCCAGCAGCCGCGGUAAUACAUAGGGGUCAAGCGUUGUCCGGAUUUAUUGGGCGUAAAGAGCUCGUAGGCGGUUCAACAAGUCGGUCGUAAAAGUUUAGGGCUCAACCCUAAAAUGUCGAUCGAUACUGUUGUGACUAGGAUACGGUAGAGGUGAAUGGAAUUCCGAGUGUAGCGGUGAAAUGCGUAGAUAUUCGGAGGAACACCAAUUGCGAAGGCAGUUCACUGGACCGUGAUCGACGCUGAGGAGCGAAAGCUAGGGGAGCAAACAGGAUUAGAUACCCUGGUAGUCCUAGCUGUAAACGAUG
Molecule: ribosomal RNA, 772 nt
Filed under: uncultured bacterium
Lineage: Bacteria
Description: bacterial SSU rRNA
Rfam family: Bacterial small subunit ribosomal RNA
Source: RNAcentral